CCUACGGGGUGCAGCAGUGGGGAAUAUUGCACAAUGGGGGAAACCCUGAUGCAGCGACGCCGCGUGAGUGAAGAAGUAUCUCGGUACGUAAAGCUCUAUCAGCAGGGAAGAAAAUGACGGUACCUGACUAAGAAGCCCCGGCUAACUACGUGCCAGCAGCCGCGGUAAUACGUAGGGGGCAAGCGUAAUCCGGAUUUACUGGGUGUAAAGGGAGCGUAGACGGCAGGACAAGUCUGGAGUGAAAUCCCGGGGCUUAACCCCGGAACUGCUGUGGAAACUGUGCGGCUGGAGUGCAGGAGGGGUAAGCGGAAUUCGUGGUGUAGCGGUGAAAUGCGUAGAUAUUAGGAGGAACACCGAUGGCGAAGGCAGCUUACUGGACUGUAACUGACGUUGAGGCUCGAAAGCGUGGGGAGCAAACAGGAUUAGAUACCCGAGUAGUC
This 440-nucleotide ribosomal RNA is filed under the name uncultured bacterium. Its description in RNAcentral is "partial 16S ribosomal RNA". It matches the Rfam family "Bacterial small subunit ribosomal RNA", at positions 338 to 795 of the family's 1533-position model. The record is from RNAcentral.